UACGUAGGGACCGAGCGUUGUCCGGAAUCAUUGGGCGUAAAGAGCGUGUAGGCGGCCGAUCAAGUUCCGCGUGAAAUCUCACGGCUCAACCGUGAGCAGCCGUGGAAAACUGGUCGGCUAGAGUGCGGGAGAGGAGAGUGGAAUUCCUGGUGUAGCGGUGAAAUGCGUAGAUAUCAAGAGGAACACCAGUGGCGAAGGCGAGUCCCUGGACAACACCUGACACUGAGGCACGAAAGCCGGGGGAGCAAACAGG
RNAcentral lists this ribosomal RNA (253 nucleotides) under uncultured bacterium. Its description in RNAcentral is "partial 16S ribosomal RNA". It matches the Rfam family "Bacterial small subunit ribosomal RNA", at positions 524 to 776 of the family's 1533-position model. The record is from RNAcentral.